This 253-nucleotide ribosomal RNA is filed under the name uncultured bacterium. RNAcentral describes it as "partial 16S ribosomal RNA". It matches the Rfam family "Bacterial small subunit ribosomal RNA", at positions 524 to 776 of the family's 1533-position model. The record is from RNAcentral.
UACGAAGGGGGCAAGCGUUGUUCGGAAUUACUGGGCGUAAAGGGCGCGUAGGCGGCUUAUCACGUCAGGCGUGAAAUUCCCGGGCUCAACCUGGGGGCUGCGCUUGAUACUGCUGAGCUUGAAUGCGGGAGAGGAUGGUGGAAUUCCCAGUGUAGAGGUGAAAUUCGUAGAUAUUGGGAAGAACACCGGUGGCGAAGGCGGCCAUCUGGCCCGUGAUUGACGCUGAGGCGCGAAAGCGUGGGGAGCAAACAGG